AUUGAACGCUGGCGGCAUGCCUUACACAUGCAAGUCGAACGGUAACAGGUCUUCGGAUGCUGACGAGUGGCGAACGGGUGAGUAAUACAUCGGAACGUGCCUAGUAGUGGGGGAUAACUACUCGAAAGAGUGGCUAAUACCGCAUGAGAUCUACGGAUGAAAGCAGGGGAUCGCAAGACCUUGUGCUACAAGAGCGGCCGAUGGCAGAUUAGGUAGUUGGUGGGAUAAAAGCUUACCAAGCCGACGAUCUGUAGCUGGUCUGAGAGGACGAUCAGCCACACUGGGACUGAGACACGGCCCAGACUCCUACGGGAGGCAGCAGUGGGGAAUUUUGGACAAUGGGCGAAAGCCUGAUCCAGCAAUGCCGCGUGCAGGAUGAAGGCCUUCGGGUUGUAAACUGCUUUUGUACGGAACGAAAAGCCCCGGGUUAAUACCCUGGGGUCAUGACGGUACCGUAAGAAUAAGCACCGGCUACUACGUGCCAGCCGCCGCAGUAA
This 497-nucleotide ribosomal RNA is filed under the name uncultured bacterium. RNAcentral describes it as "partial 16S ribosomal RNA". It matches the Rfam family "Bacterial small subunit ribosomal RNA", at positions 30 to 523 of the family's 1533-position model. The record is from RNAcentral.